GUGCAGUCCUCAUGUGUGAUCAUUUAAUGUGUUGGAAUGGUCUCUGUGGUAACAUUCUGUUUGUCUAAAAAGUUUGCUGGGACUCGAUUUAUGUUUAUGCGACAAAGAUUUUCUAUAUUGUAAUGCACAGAAACACACAGUGCUAUCGCAGAAGGCUACUAUUUUAGUGGUAUAGCAUUGUCUUCUUUGUCUGGCAGCAUGUGA
Non-coding RNA from Pelobates cultripes (western spadefoot toad), 204 nucleotides. Lineage: Eukaryota; Metazoa; Chordata; Amphibia; Anura; Pelobatidae. The record is from the annotation of a GenBank genome assembly.